This 154-nucleotide ribosomal RNA is filed under the name Staphylococcus aureus. RNAcentral's name for it is "partial 16S ribosomal RNA". It matches the Rfam family "Bacterial small subunit ribosomal RNA", at positions 1 to 149 of the family's 1533-position model. The record is from RNAcentral. RNAcentral also lists the same sequence under 1 other name. Lineage: Bacteria; Bacillati; Bacillota; Bacilli; Caryophanales; Staphylococcaceae.
UUUAUGGAGAGUUUGAUCCUGGCUCAGGAUGAACGCUGGCGGCGUGCCUAAUACAUGCAAGUCGAGCGAACGGACGAGAAGCUUGCUUCUCUGAUGUUAGCGGCGGACGGGUGAGUAACACGUGGAUAACCUACCUAUAAGACUGGGAUAACUU